AGACAGUGUGGCAAUUCCUCAAGGACCUAGAAAUAGAAAUUCCAUUUGACCCAGCAAUCCCGUUACUCGGUAUAUAGCCAAAGGAUUAUAAAUCAUUCUAUUAUAAAGACACAUGCAUGUGUAUGUUCACUGCAGCACUGUUUACAAUAGCAAAGAUCUGGAACCAACCCAAAUGCCCAUCGAUGAUAGACUGGACACGGAAAAUGUGACACAUAUACACCAUGGAAUAGUAUGCAGCCAUAAAAAACAAUGAGUUUGUGUCCUUUGUAGGGUCAUGGAUGAAGCUGGAAACCAUCAUUCUCAGCAGACUGACACAAGAACAGAAAAUCAAACACCGCAUGUUCUCACUCAUAGGACGUGGAUUACUAAAAGACAUUAGAACGCUCACUGAGUCUUUGGAAGAAGUGAAGAAACAGGCUCUGGAGUGAGCUUCCAGUGCUCAGAACCUCAAUGCAGAACUGGCAGAGAAGGAAAUUUCUGUUCCUCAUGAUUCCAAAACCAUGUUGGCUUUCCUACCAUCUGUGCCUGCAGAAUUGAUGUCCUAUGCCCCACCUCCUUCCUCAUAUGCAUCACUUCUGUAUCUACAUAUCUGUAUGUGCAAGAACCCAAGUCACAUGACUGCACCCUGGCGGCAAAGAAACUGAGAAAUGUGGGAGCUUUGUAUGCUAUCUUGGGAAGAUAGGAUUCACACCACCGGGAACCAUCAUAAUGUAGAAGGAAUAGUAAAAGAUUUGGCUAACAGGGUAAACCAAAAUGAUUUGACUUUAAAAGGUUCCAACCCUUGAUUAAUUGUACCAGUCUGCCCCUAGCUAAUGUUUUCAGCCAUCAGGUAGAUAUGGGCCUGAGCAUCAGCUUCAGCAUGCCUGCUCCAAACAUUAGAGUCAUUUCUCCACUAAAUAUCUCAUCAGGGAAAAGAAUUAUCAUGUACUAAAUACAUUCUAAAUGUUACACACUGUACAAAAUGCUUUAUGUGCAUUAUGUAUUUAAUCUCCUCAAUAACCCCACUUCAAGGGCAUAAUUCCCAUUUUACAAGUAGAAAAAUGAGUGCUGAGAAAUUAAAUACUUUUUCUCAAAGUCACACAGUAAAAUGGGGCAAAGACUUAAU
Molecule: long non-coding RNA, 1105 nt
Filed under: Callithrix jacchus (white-tufted-ear marmoset)
Lineage: Eukaryota; Metazoa; Chordata; Mammalia; Primates; Cebidae
Description: lncRNA (ENSCJAG00000082186.1)
Source: RNAcentral